RNAcentral lists this ribosomal RNA (322 nucleotides) under uncultured eukaryote. RNAcentral's name for it is "partial 18S ribosomal RNA". It matches the Rfam family "Eukaryotic small subunit ribosomal RNA", at positions 1470 to 1796 of the family's 1831-position model. The record is from RNAcentral.
CCCUUAGAUGUUCUGGGCCGCACGCGUGCUACACUGAGUGGAUCAGCGGGUCAGGUUGCGCGAAAGUGUUUCCUAAUCUUGAAAUCCGCUCGUGAUGGGGAUUGACGGUUGCAAUUUUCCGUCAUGAACGAGGAAUACCUUGUAAGCGCGGGUCAUCAUCCCGCGCUGAAUACGUCCCUGCCCUUUGUACACACCACCCGUCGCUCCUACCGAUUGAGUGGUCCGGUGAGGCUUUGGGAUCUGAGCGGAAAGAGCGUUUCGCUGUUUCUGCUCGGAAAACUCAGUCGAACCUUAUCAUUUAGAGGAAGGAGAAGUCGUAACA